GGAGAAGUACCCAAGUGGCUGAAGGGUCCGCACUCGAAAUGCGGUAGGCGGUUAAUAGCCGUGCAAGAGUUCAAAUCUCUUCUUCUCCGCCA
This 92-nucleotide transfer RNA is filed under the name Ruminiclostridium papyrosolvens DSM 2782. RNAcentral describes it as "[Clostridium] papyrosolvens DSM 2782 tRNA-Ser". It matches the Rfam family "tRNA". Rfam says of the family: Transfer RNA (tRNA) molecules are approximately 80 nucleotides in length. Their secondary structure includes four short double-helical elements and three loops (D, anti-codon, and T loops). The record is from RNAcentral. Lineage: Bacteria; Bacillati; Bacillota; Clostridia; Eubacteriales; Oscillospiraceae.